UUCAAAGAAUAAGAAUCACAGAAUGGUUGAGGUUGGAAGGGAUCUCUGGAGGUCAUCUGGUCCAAUUCCCUGUUCAAGCAGAGACAUCUAGAGCCACUUGCCUAGGAUCAUGGACAGCUUUUGAAGAUCCCCAAGGAAGGAGAUUCCCCAGCCUCCCUGGACAAGCUGAUGUUCAGAUGGAGCCUCCUGUGUUUCUAUUUGUUGAUUGCCCUUUGUCCUGUCACUGGGCACCGCUGAGAAGAGCCUGGCUCCAUCCUCACUGCAUCCUCCCUUCAGUUCUUCAUGUCAAAGCUGGUUUGCUUUACAAAAGAAAUAGAAGAAGACCAGACUCCUUAUCUCUACUGACAUUCCAGUUCCCUCUGGCAGAGGAAACAUUUCAGGAAGAGACCAACACACUUCUCAAGAUUGUAAUAACUUCUCACUGUAGCUCUAAUCAUAGUUAAACAAAGAUAGAAGACUGCUGAGGUUUUCUGUGCCAUAUGAUUCAUUACAUUCCAUUUGGCUAUGGAAACCCUGGAAACAAUUACACGGUAUUUCAGAACAUGCAUUUAUGUUUAUAAAAUCUCUGGCAUAGUUCACGGAUUCAUCAGACUUACUUGAAAAUUCAAACGCUACUCCUCUGGAAAAUAAGAAAAUCAAAAGGUACAAUCAGAUUUUUCUUCCUCAACAACUUUAAAAUCCUUUCCAUUCCAAGACCAUGUGUUUAUUCUGAAGAUUAACUCCAAUUUAUAUUACCUCUCUCAAAGAAGCCAGAAGCAGAAGUCUGACAUACCCUGAAUAUACCUGCAAAGAGAAGCAAAAACAGUGGUAAAAUUGGAAACCAGACACUCCAAAUGAUCAGUGGACUAACUUACAAAUGUCUUUUGGAUUGAGAAGAAUAGAGAAAACAAAAUAACAAUAAUAUUAAUAAAGCAUAAGGAGGAUUUUUUUUAAAAAACAGAAACCAACCAACCAACCAAAAACAACAACAACAAAAAUAAAACCUAAGAAGAUUAAUCCUUCAUAGUAUGGAGCACUGCAGAAGAAAAUUUAUUUUCUUCCAGUGUGUCUUCAUGUUUUUUUAACCAUAUUUCUUUCAAUCAGAUUUCCGUAUCAGAUCAAAGUCACAGAAUUCACAAACAAUUCAAGUCUUAUUCCAAGGCUUCCAGGAUUGCAUUCAGGCUACCAUGGCUGACUGAAGAAGAUGGAAAUCAAAGCAAUCAUUAGGUGGUCUAAAGCCAUCAGUUGGAGGGGUGAAACAUGAAGUGCUCUAUAUCUGGAUUUAUACCUGACAAGCAAGGUAUUUGCUGCUGUUCUCCUGAAGAAAGCUGUCAUGCUGCUGAGCAUACUUGCCAUUGAUUUUUAUUUCAGAAAGAAACAUAAUCUUGGCCUCCAUGUGUGUAAAGCCAUGAAAUCACAGUCACAAGGCUGAACAGCAUUUGUUAUAUUAUAUAUAGUGAACUCCUAUUUGAACCUCAGAAAAGAGCUCCUGUUUCAUAUCAGUAUUCCUACAGACAAGCACAGCUUAAAAGAAUGAAUGUGCCCCAAUCACCUGCAAUACUCUAAAAUCCCUUAUUUGCUUGGAGAGAAGAUAUUCAGCUACCUGCCAGAAGUUUUCAUGCUUGAAUACAGACUCUGAAUAAAACCUGACAUUGAAACACAUGGAAUAACACUUCUAUUCAUGAGACCAAAUCAAUUUUAAACAUGAUCCAAGUGGAAGCAACUAUCAGCUUCGGUAGCUUUGAAUCAACUUAUUGUUAUUAUAAAUAUAAGUGAGAGGAUUUAUGAAAAAAUACUGUGCAAAAAUGAAGUGUAUACUGUUUCAACAGUUGUGAGCCACAGGAAGUUCAACCACCUCAGAUUGACAAGAGGUACAAAUUAUUAUAGUGCCAGGAUAGUGGGGUCACAGAUGGAGCAGCAUUUACCUAUCCUUGGAUCAACCUGUGGUGUACAAGAGAGACCAAGAAGGCUGUGAAGAAACUAACUGCUGCAAUAUAGAAAAUUCUCUUGUCAUAUUAAGAAAAAAAUUAUAUAUAUACAAUGAGGGUUUUCAAACAUUGUGGCAAGUUGGCCAGAUAUGUCAUGGAAUUUCCAUUUUUUGAGAUAGUCGGAACUCUGCUGAACAUGAAACUUUAUAUAAAAUGACUGCUUUUUGAGCUGGAGCAGACAAUAUCCACCGAUUCCUCCCAUCCUAAACUACUUUGUAACUUCACUGAACAAUGUCACAAUCUAACAUUAUAAUUUUUUUUCCCAACAUAGCUCUAAAAUAAUCAUGUUAUCACUGUAAUAUUGUUUGAUUUUUGUUCUUGCAUGGUGUCUUUUGAAAAAAAAAAGUAUUAAUGGAUUAAAAGAAGGUAUUAAGCCAUUACAAAGAAACUAUUAUAGGGAAAUGUGAAAAAAAGCUUUUCAAUAUGCAUUAAGCCCAAUUAAAUAUGUAAACACUAUGCUAAUUUUAGCUUAUUUCUUCCACUCCUGAGUAGUACAUAAACUGCGACAGUUUAGGGGUAUAUAGCUGACAUUGGGACAGACAUGCUAGGGAGUGUAGACAACAGGCUGUAUGAGUGUUUCAGCUAUUUUUUCCCCUUGAAUUUUCUGUCUUCAUUGACUGAGACAAACGAUGCUGUAAAAACUGCCCACUGGAUGCAAGUAAGGGACUUUGAGAGACAGUUUCACAGCUUUUACAAUCAAAAUGCACCUUUAGGAUCAUCUAGUCUGCUUAAUUGCCUGUUACACACUGCAGCACCUCACCUAGCAAUUUCUGUAUAAGCUCAUAACUGUUUUAAACUGCAGUUCAUGACAUAGUUUUCUUUAAAAAAUCUGCAGUACUUUGUAGGGCAAUUGUUCCAGUGGUUAAUUGUCCUGUCUGUUAAAAAUCUCCACUUUAUGUCUACUUAUAUAGCAUCUUACCUUCAUUUCCAACCUGUCAAUGUCACUGAAUUUUCUCUAGAUUAAAGAGUCAUCUACCAUCAGAAACUUUUCUCCAGUAUGUCUCUGAGGGCCACAAUCUAACUAUCUAUGACAGUGAUAUUAUUAGGUGAAAAACAAAAACAAACAAACAAAAAAAAAAACACCUCCCCACAGUUGAGCUCAUUUAUUCCCUCAUUUUCAUACAAGUCUCCCCAACUUUGAGUUAUUACUAUAGUAUUCUGCCUCUUGUCUGCAGAAUGGAUACUGGGAACAGCAUUACAACAACUGUCUUACAAGAGCAUUUCACAAACUUGGUUAUAUUCAUCCAUACUUUCCACUUGAAUGCAUAUGAAAUUUGUGUGCUAAGACUUGCAUCCUAUUAUGUCUGAAGUUGGUUCUGAUACUAUCCAUAAUCAUCUCAAGGAUUUAGUGCCCAAAUUAGGAUCUAAAUCUUGCAUUAUAUCCUGUUUGGUAGCCUUCCUAUGCCCAAAACCACAAGGCUCCUGAUGUUCAUAGACGCCUUUUUUGUUUUACUUAUUUAUUUAUUUUUAAUGCUAAUUCCUGAAGCACUUACAAUUCUCCUAUGGGGCAUACUUAGAAAAAUACCAGGCUUGAUAGUGACAGAACUCAGUUGCUAUCAUAUGUCUAAGCCUCCUGUGUAUCGACACACUGUACAUUCUUUUUUUACCUCGGUGAUUUGAUGCCACAAGCAUGUGCUAAGACCAUUUACAGGUUUGCCAUUAGGAGUAUUCUAUAAGAAGUACUCUCUUUAAAAUAAAAUGAGAGGUGGUGGGAGAGACAGUCUUAUCCUUCCAUCCUUAUGUGUUAAUUUAUUACCAAGUAUACUAAAUCCAUGUAUCUAGCCUAUGCAUUACUACGCUGUUAAAGCAGACGAGUCCAGGGAGUGAAUUCUAGGACUGAUUUUGCUGUUAGCACCAAUCUGCUACAAGAAGAGGUAAAUGGGGAAUAAUAGGGGCAGUGUCUUCCUUGUGAGUCCUGACUAUACUGUGCAUAGAGCACAAAAGCUGUACAUGGUGUGACUUUGUACCCUCAUAGAUACAAAGCCAGUGUGAUAUUUACUGUGCCAUAAAUGCAGCGAGUCUGCUUUGGAGGAAAGGAAGGUGCAUGGGAUUUUUGGAUGUGAAUUCAAGACACUCAUUGGAAGUUGUGAGCCAGGCAUCCUUUUUGAGCCUAUUUUAUUAAGCAGUAUACACCCAGCCAAAGCUUCCUUUGCUGCAAACUGUAAAUCUGCACAAAGCCAUCCUUCCACAAGCAAUAUUUGUAAUUGCUAGGAAUUAUUUUUGGGUCAGGGUGCUCGUCUGAUUUUUGCAUAGAAUAGUGACAGGCCCACUGGGCAGUUAGAAAAUUAAAUAAUAUGGUAACUUAAUGGUUAGGACAUUCACCAAAAAGGAGGGGAACCAACUCUUAAACUAAGCUCCUUUCCAGAAGGUAUUCAGAACUUUUAUACAAGUCUCCUUACAUAAAGUAAACGUACAGUUUGGGAAGCAGUCAUAUUUCACCAGCUAAUUCUUACUGUAGUCACCUCUUCUCCCAUCCUGAUUUAACAAUGAAAACCCUUCUUUUUUCUUUUUUUUUUUUCUAGGUUUUGAAAGACAUACAAACCUAGCAACAACAACAAAACAAAAACAAACAAAACAACAACAACAAAAACAGCAGAGAUUAUUUUAGUGAAAUCUGAGGCAUUUUCUGGUGGGGGUAGCACCUUGAUGUGUCAGAAGAUUUAAGACGUUGCUGAGAUAAACAAUUCCCAUUGGCUAAUUUAGGCAGCUAAUCAUUCAGACUUAAAGCUUUUCUGAUUUUUAUUCAAAGGUGACUGACGUGCUUUUGCUUUAAACAGAGAGCUUAGUUGCCUUAUUCUGAGCUACCAGAGCCCUUAUAUGAAUCAGGUGUCUACUUAAUGGAUAGAGACCUAUGUCCUAUUCCUUGAUGUUAUCAGGUAUCAAUUUUAUCAGCUUGUAGUUAUUAUACGUUUUUUAAGACUGUCAUAUUAUCUUUUCCCUUCUGUAUCCUUCUAAUUACCAAAGUAUGGUAUAUAUAUGAAAUAUUUCUAAUUUUCGUUUUUACUUUUUUUUCUAAGUCAUGUUAGUUCUUUCAGCAAGUAUCAGUUUUUACUGUUGUAAAUUUUACAUUUCAUUUGUUCUGACUAAAUUUAUAAAAAUA
Cygnus atratus (black swan) is the source of this 5067-nucleotide long non-coding RNA. RefSeq lists it as uncharacterized. The record is from RefSeq and is a predicted model, not a curated record. NCBI's taxonomy places the organism in Eukaryota, Metazoa, Chordata, Aves, Anseriformes, Anatidae. The transcript is spliced from 6 exons.